AACGCGAAGAACCUUACCAGUCCUUGACAUGCCUGUCAUAGUUACCAGAGAUGGUUUCGUCGGUUCGGCCGGACAGUGCACAGUUGCUGCAUGGCUGUCGUCAGCUCGUGUCGUGAGAUGUUGGGUUAAGUCCCGCAACGAGCGCAACCCUCUUCCUUAGUUGCUACCAUUCAGUUGGGCACUCUAGGGAUACUGCCGGUGAUAAGCCGGAGGAAGGCGAGGAUGACGUCAAGUCCUCAUGGCACUUACGGACUGGGCUACACACGUGCUACAAUGGUGGUGACAAUGGGAUGCGAACCCGCGAGGGGGAGCAAAUCUCCAAAAGCCACCUCAGUUCAGAUUGCAGGCUGCAACUCGCCUGCAUGAAGUUGGAAUCGCUAGUAAUCGUGGAUCAGCAUGCCACGGUGAAUACGUUCCCGGGCCUUGUACACACCGCUAC
This 439-nucleotide ribosomal RNA is filed under the name uncultured bacterium. Its description in RNAcentral is "bacterial SSU rRNA". It matches the Rfam family "Bacterial small subunit ribosomal RNA", at positions 958 to 1396 of the family's 1533-position model. The record is from RNAcentral.